GAAUCGUUCAAUUCGUAGAAAACACAAUGUGUGUUAGCUUGGAAAAACGAAUCAAUUAAUGUUAGUAGCACUAAGCUUUCAUAUAAAAAAACUAAAGAAGGAGAACAAUCCUUAAAAUAAAUGUCGUAUGGGAAUGUUGUAUUGCAGUAUUAUUCAUUUCAUGCUUCCCUCAAGAUCUAUGUUGAUGGAAUAACUUGAAUAGUAUUAUCUGUGAUGACCGGUAAGCUAUUGCUCGCUCGCUUUGAAGUAUAAGUACCAAAGUUGAUUAGAGUAUUACAGUACCUAAUUAAAUGCUAAUUAGCUAGGUCCUGGUGGGCGUACAACGAGAAGUACGAACACUAAUUAAUCUCGCAAGAAAAUAUAUAGGAAGACGUGGGUGACAUUAACAAAUCACCUACUUCCUUGAUUUUCAUCACAUGGACAAUGCAAACCCAAAAGACGCGCUUCAAAAAAGAAAGAAAAAAGAAACUUGUUGUAAGCUGGGGCAGGUUAAUGUACGUGUACUGUACGUGGUCGGAUGCGUGUUUUGGUCAAACACUUAAGAGCAAUUAAAAAAAUACAACCACAAACAGGUGCCGAUUAAGAAUGAUGGAAAGCAAAUGUUAAACUGAGAAGUUGCAUUAAGGAGAUAUAUCCAAACAUAGUUUGCAUCCGGACUUUGCACAAGCGCUUCACACAGCCAUAAGGUCUAGCAAGGAGGAAAAUGACAACGAGAGAGAAGUUACAACUGGGAAGAAUGAACAUUAAGAAACCUGGAAUCGCAAAUUAUGUUGUUACCCAUCGUCGCUAAGAUCCUUCUUGUCAUAAUAAUAUAC
This 815-nucleotide long non-coding RNA is filed under the name Brachypodium distachyon (stiff brome). RNAcentral describes it as "long non-coding RNA (BDIS_LNC000681)". The record is from RNAcentral. Lineage: Eukaryota; Viridiplantae; Streptophyta; Magnoliopsida; Poales; Poaceae.